RNAcentral lists this microRNA precursor (68 nucleotides) under Drosophila guanche. It matches the Rfam family "mir-2 microRNA precursor family". From Rfam's summary of the family: The miRNAs are transcribed as ~70nt precursors (modelled here) and subsequently processed by the Dicer enzyme to give a ~22nt product. In this case the mature sequence comes from the 3' arm of the precursor. The extents of the hairpin precursors are not generally known and are estimated based on hairpin prediction. Lineage: Eukaryota; Metazoa; Arthropoda; Insecta; Diptera; Drosophilidae. The record is from RNAcentral.
UAUCGCGUCAAAAUGACUGUGAGCUAUGUAUUUUUGAUCUCAUAUCACAGCCAUUUUGACGAGUUUGA